GACGAACGCUGGCGGCGUGCUUAACACAUGCAAGUCGAGCGGUAAGGCUCUUUCGGGGGUACACGAGCGGCGAACGGGUGAGUAACACGUGGGUGACCUGCCCUCAGCUCUGGGAUAAGCCUGGGAAACCGGGUCUAAUACUGGAUAUGACUCCAUGACGCAUGUUGUGGGGUGGAAAGCCUUGUGCGGCUGAGGAUGGGCCCGCGGCCUAUCAGCUUGUUGGUGGGGUGAUGGCCUACCAAGGCGACGACGGGUAGCCGGCCUGAGAGGGCGACCGGCCACACUGGGACUGAGACACGGCCCAGACUCCUACGGGAGGCAACAGUGGGGAAUCUUGCGCAAUGGGCGAAAGCCUGACGCAGCGACGCCGCGUGAGGGAUGACGGCCU
This 388-nucleotide ribosomal RNA is filed under the name uncultured bacterium. RNAcentral's name for it is "bacterial SSU rRNA". It matches the Rfam family "Bacterial small subunit ribosomal RNA", at positions 28 to 417 of the family's 1533-position model. The record is from RNAcentral.